GCCACUGCUAUUGGGGUUCGGCUAAGCCAUGCGAGUGGAGGGCGUCCCGCAAGGGAUGGCCCCGCAGACGGCUCAGUAACACGUUGUCAACCCACCUUAGGGUGGGGGACAACCUCGGGAAACUGAGGAUAAUCCCCCAUAGGCGGGGGAGGCUAGAAUGCGCCCCCGCUGAAAGCUCAGGCGCCCUAGGACGGGACGGCGGCCUAUCAGGUAGUUGGUGGUGUGACG
Molecule: ribosomal RNA, 228 nt
Filed under: uncultured archaeon
Lineage: Archaea
Description: partial 16S ribosomal RNA
Rfam family: Archaeal small subunit ribosomal RNA
Source: RNAcentral